CACAGUUCAGCCACAGCUUAGCGGACUGUAGCAGAACUCACAGCUUCUCCCGGAGUGAAACAAAUACGACAAUGAUCGUGCUUUGAAGUCUUCACCCAUGUUCUCGAGGAGGAAUAAGGGCACAUUGCUGAAUGACACCAGAUAACUGAGAAUCUGUAUCCUAGUGGAACUGAACCUGGGUCCUCGUACUUGCUGACCACCAAUCUCAGCCCUAGAGCUGGAUUCUAAUCCCAGCUCUGCUGAUCUUCUGGACUGAAACUCAGCCUCACACCUCCCUGGAAUGCUGCCUUCCAGAUUCUUGGACAUUCAUUCAAAAGGAACUCGAAGCCUCACUGGAUAUUUAGAUUAGACCUUUGUGAUGUGCAUCAGUGACCUGUGAUGUCUGCUUCUUCCCAAAGCAGAGGCUAGAUUUCACCCUGCUGUGCAUCCUGGAGACUCUGAGACAGACUUGUAUCUGACUUGCGCUCCAGUCAUGCACUUCGCUGCUUCUGGGAGGUGGAGCUGAAUUUAACACCUGCUCCUUUGGAGAGACUUGGAUUCACAUCCAGUGCAUCUCUACAGACUGGGCUUGAGUGAGUUUCGGACCUGUUGCUGACUCUGUGAAGAGCUUCUUGAAGCAGCUGUUUUAUCCCGUUAUUAGUUCAAGUCCCAAAGAAUAAUAGCAGGAACUGUA
This 673-nucleotide small RNA is filed under the name Rattus norvegicus (Norway rat). RNAcentral's name for it is "uncharacterized LOC103693030". The record is from RNAcentral. Lineage: Eukaryota; Metazoa; Chordata; Mammalia; Rodentia; Muridae.